UUGGCUCUGAAACAAGGCCAGCAGUUUGCUGAAGGUGUUGGUUUCAAGCAGGAGCCUAAAGAAUUAUCCCUCUAUGAUCUGUUGGCCAUUUCAGAACUUCCGAAAUGUAACGGUCAAUUCAUUAGAAAGAAGCAGUG
This is a small nucleolar RNA of Otolemur garnettii (small-eared galago), 137 nucleotides long. The record is from Ensembl. Lineage: Eukaryota; Metazoa; Chordata; Mammalia; Primates; Galagidae.